UCUUUCGGCCGAACACGGGAGCAGACACAAGAUCGGACCGGUAGAGCCCAGCGCCGGUCACCCGAUACCUGUAUUGUGACAUGUUCAAUACAUAUGCCAUGUAACCAAUCUACCCUUACUACUCAAGAUGCAAAUAUCCUGUACAACGCUCUGUGAAUAAUAAAGUGCAAAAUGUCGCUGUU
Molecule: long non-coding RNA, 182 nt
Organism: Lates calcarifer (barramundi perch)
Lineage: Eukaryota; Metazoa; Chordata; Actinopteri; Centropomidae
Exons: 2
Source: RefSeq, a predicted model, not a curated record